UCAACUACUGCUGAAGUUGCAUACAACUUUGCCCCAUUUCUCCGGGUAUACACAGAUGGCCUUGUAGAGAGGUUGAUCGGCACAGAUGUAGUUCCACCGGCAAUGAAUUCGGAAACCGGGGUUUCCACCAAGGACGUUGUGAUCGCACCUGAAACUGGCGUAUCGGCACGUCUGUUCAAGCCGAACUCCGUCAACCCAGAGAAAAGGCUUCCUCUACUAGUUUACUUCCAUGGCGGAGGCUUCUCCCUAUGCUCCCCUUACUGCUCCAUAUACCAUAAUUACCUUACUUCUCUAGUCCUCGAAGCUGACAUCAUUGCAGUGUCUGUUGCCUACAGACUGGCCCCUGAAAACCCUGUCCCGGCAGCUUAUGAAGAUUCAUGGGCUGCGCUUCAGUGGGUGGUUUCCCAUUGUAAUGGGCAAGGCUCCGAACCUUGGCUGAAAGACCACGCUGAUUUUCAGCGAGUUUUUUUGGCGGGAGACAGUGCAGGGGGCAAUAUUUCACACAACUUGGCUGUACAAGCCGGGGUUGAAGGGCUGGGUGGUGUGAAGCUGCAAGGAAUUUGUGUAGUUCAUCCAUAUUUUGGGAGAAAAUCAGAAGAUGAUGUUGGCAAGGUUGAUGACAAUGCCAGUGGUGGUCGACCGGACGUGAGGCCCGGUGUGGAUAACUGGUGGCUUUAUGCGUGUCCAACAACUAGUGGGUUCAAUGACCCAAGGUACAAUCCGGCGGCUGAUGAGAGGUUAUGGAGGCUAGGGUGCAGUAAGGUUCUGGUUUGUGUUGCAGAGAAGGAUGCGCUGAGGGAAAGAGGGUGGUUUUAUUAUGAGACAUUGGGUAAGAGUGGUUGGAGUGGAGAGGUGGAGAUUAUGGAGACAGAGGGGGAGGGGCAUGUGUUUCAUUUGUUCAAGCCUAGUUGUGGAAGGGCCGUGACCCUGAUGAAAAGGAUCGUCUCUUUCAUCAAUCAAGAAUAAGUUCAGGUCAUUGGAGCUUUAGAAGAGAGUUUGUAAUUUCUCGAUUAAUAAGUCAGCCUUGUGCUGACUAUGCCUUUUCAUUUUAUGAAAGUUUGAUUGUUUUAUUUGCCAAUUUUGCCUUAUAUCUUUUGUAAGAACUGUUCCUCACCCCGUCUACCGCAAUCUUAUGGGGGUACACAACGUCCACGGAAUUGUAAGAUUGCGGGUCAAAUAGACAAACACCUAUAUGAGGCCAAACAAACCCCACACCGAGGUCGGAGAUCGGAUUUGAUACCAUUUGUAAUGGCUCGAUUUCUAAGAUCGACUCUGAUACCAUAUUUCAACUGUGUAGAUAUUGUCUGCUUUGGACCCAAAAUGACUCUCACGACUUUAAAAUAUAUUUAUAGAGUUACGAGAAAUCCAUACUUAUAUAGUGUCAAAAACUUUUCCCUCUAUUUGAUGUGGAAUGUCACAUCUCUAUUCUAUUUUUACAUUUGGGUUACCAAAUUUUGUGUUCUUGUUUCAUACCAUUGCAAUUUUUAGGGCCAUUUGAGGGCCCACAAUUUGGAAAUUUUAAAAGCUGGGGAAAAUAUACUUACUUUAACGACCUAAAGGGUCACCAAGUGACAAGUGAUGAUUAAGCACCAAUACCCUUUUCAAUUCGUUCACAUUACGUCUCUACUUGCCUUAAACUUCCAUUAAAUUCUCCCCACUAUAUUUUAAUGGAAAAUAUGUGGAAAUUUGGAUGCCACAAGCCCAAUAAACUUGCUCUUCUCAAGCCAUGCCAAUCCAUAUUAAGGUCUUUGGGGGUCCACAACUAGGAGUGUUUAGAAAGGAAGAGAACAUGUACCAAUUGCCAAUAAGACCGAACGAUGGUGAUGAGUCGAUGGCUAGACACCAACAAUAUCCUUUUCCUUUUUCUCUGUUCUCACCGAACCCUUGGAAAAUCGUUCAUUGCCUCUCUCUAUUCCAAUAUGAACACUCAGAAAAUGAAAGGAAGGGGGAAAUAAUGACAAUGGCUCUGUGGAUCACAUGGACUCGCAAAUGAAUUUAAACUUUGUGCUUUGGAAACCUGUUCUAAGGAAUCUAGACGUGUUCUCACAAUCCAGUCGUUUUCUGAAGCCCAGUUCUUGGCUCUCCAAAGACUAGUGUGUUAUGAGUUAAUUCAAGUAGGGUUGUUUAAUGUAACUUGAAAGUUUCGGACCUUCCUUGAUUUUUAAGGUAAUUAUUUUUUAAUUAUUAAAAUUAUUAUUUUUAUUUAUUUUUAGCUUCCGACCUUCCUUGUUAGGCCCAUGUUAGUUAGAAAAUUUAGGACAUGUGAAAGAAUUAUUACUAAUAUUUAAUUAACAUAAUUUAAAUAUAUAGCAAAUUAUAAAAUGCCAAAAUUUUCACACAUUAAUCUUUUUUUAUACUAAUAUUUAUAUGUCAAGAUUCAACUACCAACAUACCAGACUUUUUCCCACAAGAACUCUACUUAAAUUCUUAUAUCUGAUCACUGAUCCAACAUACAUAGUCUUCUCUCUAUCUCUCUGUCUCAACCAGGCCAUAAACUUUCGUUUUCUUCUUUUCUUCAAAAAUGGAUCCAAAAGCAACUGAAAUAGCUCACGAUUUUCCACCGUUUCUCCGAGCAUACACAGAUGGGCGGGUGGAGAGGUUUUUCGGCACCGACGUGGUUCCACCGUCGGUCGAUUCUGAAACUGGGGUUUCCACCAAAGACGUUGCAAAUUUGCAAUUGCACCUGAAAGAGGCGUAUCUGCGCGUAUCUUCAAGCCAAACACCAUCAAUCCAGACCAGAAGCUCCCUCUGCUGAUCUACUACCAUGGCGGAGCCCUCUGCCUGGGCUCUCCCUACUGCACCACAUACCACAACUACGUCACUUCUCUUGUCGCUGAAGCAAACAUCAUUGCAGUGUCUGUUGAUUACAGACUGGCACCUGAACAUCCCGUCCCCGUACCUCAUGAAGAUUCAUGGGCUGCAACCCAGUGGGUGGUUUCCCAUAGUCUCGGGCAAGGCCCUGAAGCCUGGCUGAAUGAUCAUUCUGAUUUCAAGCGAGUUUUUCUUGCCGGAGACAGCGCCGGAGCCAAUAUUGCCCACAACAUGGCUGCAAGAGCUGGGGUUGAAGGAUUGGGUGGUGUGAAGCUGUCAGGAAUUUGUCUACUUCAUCCAUAUUUCGGCCGCAGAGAAGCUGAUUGUGAUAGCCGCGGUGACGGUGACAGCCUCGUCGAUAAGAAGCCAGGUGUGGAUAACAGGUGGCUUUUCGUGUGUCCAACCUCGAGCGGGAUAAACGACCCAAUAAUAAACCCGGCAUCAGACCAGAAUUUACGAAAAUUAGGGUGCAGUAAGGUGCUGGUUUGUGUAGCAGAGAAGGAUGGACUGAGAAAAAGGGGGUGGUUUUAUUAUGAGGUAUUGGGUAAAAGUGGUUGGGGUGGGGCGUUGGAGAUUGUGGAGACGGAAGGAGAAGAUCAUGUGUUUUUUUUGUUCAAGCCUGGUUGUGAGAAGGCUGUGGCUUUGAUGAAAAGGCUGGCCUCUUUUAUGAAUCAAGACUAGGCUCAACGGUUUGUGUUGGGUGAUGGCUACAUCUUUUGGCCAAAUGCGAUAUGGGGAAGAAGGCCCAAACUUGUAUUUGGGAUUGGCUAGUUUAAUUGCCAUUUCUUAAUAUGUAUUUGGAUAAUUUUAUCUACCUACUUAUUAUAUCGACGCUUUUAUGAAUAAUAUGUAUGCUCCUAACAAAUUUCUAUAGGAAAAAAUGAGAAAUUUUGGGGGGUUUCACAUGGUAGACGCCUUAUACAUGUGGAGGAAACUUUUAGGAGAUCACAUACUAUGGUCACCCUUGGAAAUUCACCAUCAAUGAGUUUGAGAGUGAUUUUGAAAAGUAUUUAUAAUAUUUUUAAUAUUUGAAAAAUAAAAAAUUUUAAAUGUUAGAAAAUUUAAAAAUACUUCUAUCAAACGCACUCCAACUAAGGAACAGUACCUUCAUUCCUUGGUUUUUUCCUUUUAUAACUCAUCUUGCUGUAGCAGUAUUUGGAAUAGAAGAGAAUCAAUUAGUUACACAAUGAAUUAGUUACUGAUUCCGAAUAAACUAACUAAAAUAACUAGUUCUUAUCUUAGUUUCUUGGGUGAAGUUACUUGACUGCAGUAGAUAGGGGAUGAUAGAGAAUUUGAUUUCAACAUGGGUGGAGGCAGCCAUAUUCUAGAAAGAUUUAUGACCGAUGGAUUUGGUACUGGAUAAUUGAUUCAUUGUUUCGCCCCUCCCGGUCGGUGUCAAGCAUAUGACCAUUUUUGCACAGCAAGGUUAUGAAAAUCCAUGAGAAGUGACUGGAUGUAUUAUAUGUACCAAUUGUCAUUUAGCUAAUAAGCCCGUGGAUAUUGAGGUUCUCCUAAAGAUAGGAGGAAUUCAGCAUUUUUCUUUUGGAAAACACAGUAUCGUUCAAUUAUUAAGGUUGCAAUUCAACAAAUUCAUUUAUUUUACUUUGUAUCUGUUUGGUCUUUGAGAAAAGGACGGAAAAAUUACAUAGAAGUGCGCUACCACCAACCAACCAAAACUAAUGGUUAUUAUAUAUGGCUCAGUGGGUACCUUUCCUCUGUGAUAUUAGUUACUGCAACAGCCAAAGUCAUUGAGGUUGGUUAUUUUAUUCCACUCACCGUGUUUUAGGAUUUUUUUUUAAGAUUUAGAUACCGAUAUUACCCUUCAUUAAUCACUCACGUUACACGAUGAAUGGAUGAAAAAGUAAAUAUAAAACAAUUAAAACGAGUGUAAAGUGGUUUUUUAAUAUUGUUUUGAAAAAUUUUAAAUUUAAACUGCCGUUUCACAGUAAUUCUAAGAAACGUUUUUAAACUUUUAAAUACUUUAUAAAAUUUGUAUUAUUUAAGUGUUAGAAAUGGUAGAAACGUUUUCUAAAAUCACUAUCAAAUGCACUGUUAAUAUAUUGAGAUUUUUAUCCUAAGCAAAUUAUGUCAAAAAGGCUUUUUAGACUAUGAUGCAAUUUUGUUAAGAAAAUUAAAUAUCCUUUCCACAUCACAAAACUCUUAAAAAAAUUGUAUUUCUCCUGGGUUCGUGAAGAAAUUUGCAUCCCUUUAUACGUUGAGGCCUAGUCCAUUGGCACACAUGUGAUGUUGUAUCAUGGGCAUGAAGAUCAAUGUAGGCAUUGAAAAGUAAGAUUUAAAGAUAACAUGUAUAAAAUAAAUUUAUGUAUUGUUAUUUCAACGGUAGUGAUUUUGUAUUUUACGAUAUUUAAUUUCGUGAUUUUUAUAUUUGCAUAAUUUUUAGCAGACAAUACAAGUUGUUUUAAGGUAAAAAUUUCUAUCUCGAUUGGUUUCUCUUUCUAUUUUUGAAAUAUUAAAAAUAUUAAAAAUAAUAAUUUUAGGAUAAAAAGAAGUGUUAUUCAUUCUAUUUAGGCAUUUCAUAAUCUAGAUGUAUGACUUUCUAAAUCAAUUUUUUUCUUGAAAAUGUAAUAAUAUUGGUUAUCCAUACUAAUUACGCAAAUGAUGAAAAAUAUCAUCCAAAAACUUAAAAAAAAAAUGAUACAUUAAAAAAUUGGAGAGGGCUCAAAUUAUGCUUAAAAUUAAUUGAAAUAAUGCAAUUUCUUUUUCAACUUCAAUUAACCAUUGUAUUGGUUUUCCUUUUUUCAAUAUUUCAUCCACUCUUGUCCUAACAAAAAUAAUCAAAUUUACAAUAAAAAUUAAUAAUACAAUUUUCAAAUACUAAUUAACAAUAGAUACGUAUUUUAAAAUUUAUUUUAAAAAAAUCCAACUCCAAAUAGUUAUGAUAUUCUUUAAAAAGACUAAUUACACUUACAUUUUUCCUACCUUCUAAUUUUUUUGAUUUAAUUUUUUUUUGUCACUUCUUAUAGCAUCAAUAUUGCUUAGGCAUACUAAUCAUCCUUAGAAAUGAUGGAAGUUAGACACAAAAAAAUUUGAAAUUUAAAACACAAAAAAAUUUCCUCACAUUUUUGUACAAUUCCCACAUUUUGGUACUCUCCAAAAUUCUCAAAUUUUUUAUUUUAAGAUUUUUUUUUCCAUCUCAGAAAGUUCGUACCAUCUCUCAUAAAGUUCGUACAAUGUUCGUACCCCAUCUCACAAUGUUCGUACAUCAUUUCAUAAUAUUCGUACCAUAUCUCACAAAGUUCGUAUCCCAUCUCACAAAGUUUCGUACAAUCUCUCACAAAGUUUGUACCAUAUAUCACAAAGUUCAUACAAUCUCUCAUAAAGUUUGUACCACCCUCACAAUGUUCGUACAAUCUCUUACAAUAUUCGUACCCUUUCUUACAAUAUCAGUACCCCAUCUCACAAUGUCAGUACCCCAUUUCACAAUGUUCAUACAUCAUCUCACAACGUGUGUACUCCAUUUCACAAAGUUCGUACCCCAUCUUACAAAGUUCGUACUCCAUCUCACAAAGUUUGUAUCACCUCUCACAAUGUUGGUACCCCAUCUGACAAUGUUCGUAUCAUCUCUCACAAUGUUUAUACCCUCUCUCACAUUGUUCGUACUAUUUCUCACAAUUUUUCGUACAUCUUCUCACAAUGUUCGUACCCAAUCUCACAUUGAUCGUACAACUUCUCACAUUAUUUCGUACAAUUUUUUACAAUGUUCGUACCCCCUCUCACAAUAUUCGUAUCAUCUCUCACAAUGUUUGUAGCUUUUUUUUUUACAUUAUUCGUACCUUCUUUUCAUAUUACUUGUUAGUCUUCUCACAUUGUUUAUACCCUCUUUAACAUGACAUUUCCACCUACAAAAUUUAUAUUUAGAUAAAAAAAAAUCAAAUUUUACCUUUAACACUUGUAAUCAAUUGGAAUCCUUCGUAUAAUAUCUUCCCAAGAGACAAAAUUCUUGUUUUCUUCUUCAAGAUAUAUUAAACUUCAUCUUCAAAUUUAAUCUAUGAAUACACAAAAUAAUAACAUAAAAAAUAUUGAUGACGAUUUUAUAACAAAUGACUAAAUAGUCUCAAUUUGAUUAAUAAUAACUCAUAAAAAAAAUUCAAAAAUCUAAAUGUUAAAAAUCAUUACAUAUUUAAAUGUCAUUUCACACGACAUUUCUACCUACAACAUUUAUAUAUAUAUAUAUAUCAAAUGUUACCUUUUAACACUUGUAAUCACUUCACAUCCUUCAUAUAAUGUCUUCCUCAAGACAUAUAAAACUUCAUCUUCAAAUUUAAUUUAUGAACACAAAAAAAAAUGAUAUAAAAAUAUUACUAAUAACAAAAGAUUAAAUUAUCUUAAUUUGAUUAAUAAUAAACUCAUAAAAAAUUCUAAAAUUUAAAUUUUAUAAAUCAUUACAUAUUCAUUAUUUAACAUAACAUUUCUAUCUACAAAAUUUAUAUUUAAAUAAAAAUAUAUCAAAUAUUACCUUUGACACUUGUAAUAACUUGAAAUCCUUCAUCUUCUUCAUAGAAUACAAAUUUUAAAUUUUCUCCCUUAAAAAGUUUCAAACAUAUAUAAUUUUUAAAUUUGAUUUAUCAAAAAUACAUCUCAUAUAUUUUGUAAUGUGGUAGUUGAAACUAUUUAAUUUUCAUAUUAAAUUAAUAUCCUUCUUAUAUAUAUGAAUAAUGAGAAUAUAAGGAUAGUUGUAAGAGUUAGGUAAUUUAUUAAAUUAUAAAAAAAAUUAUAAUAUUUAGAUAUAUAUGAAAUGCGGAUUAUUCUCAAUCAUUUUUUAUAGGUUUAAUAAGUAUUUGUAAAUUUUUUAAUGACAUGCACUUUACGCGUGUCAUUUUAUUAUUGGGGUAAAGUGCGGUUAGGUACCCAAAAUAAAAUAAAGAGUGGGUAACAAACAACAGCCCUUGAUUUACGGAUUAAACGCUCGAAAACUGUGUUAAAAAUAUGUUUUUUAAAGAGCCGACCAUCAUCCCAUGACUUCUUUCGUUUGUUGGGUUAAUAAUGGCAGCAAAUGACCCAAAGCAGCCUCAAUUAUUACUUAGUUCUUCCACGGAGAUAUUAGAAAAUUAUUGAUUAAAGGUCUGCAACCUUCAAGGCUAAUAUUCUCGAUGUAAGAUAAGCCAUGACAUAUUUUUUUAAAAGAUAAAUCCAAAAGUGUUUUAAGACCACAAAUCAUACUUGUUCUCUUUGUUUCUGCUGCGAAUAUAUAUAUACAGAUUGAAGCAUCGUGAUCAAAUCAUCUUCUUCCUUUUGAACUCCAUCCAACAAUAUAUAUAUAGAGGUGGGUGUCAUUUCUUGUAAUCCAACAUCUCUAUCUACAAACAAACACUUUCUCAGUCUUAGCUUUUCUUUGGUUCAAUAAUGGAUUCAACUACUGCUGAAGUUGCAUACUACUUUGCCCCAUUUCUCCGGGUAUACACAGAUGGCCUUGUAGAGAGGUUGCUCGGCACAGAUGUAGUUCCACCGGCAAUGAAUUCGGAAACCGGGGUUUCCACCAAGGACGUUGUGAUCGCACCUGAAACUGGCGUAUCGGCACGUCUGUUCAAGCCGAACUCCGUUAACCCAGAGAAAAGGCUUCCUCUACUAGUUUACUUCCAUGGCGGAGGCUUCUCCCUAUGCUCCCCUUACUGCUCCAUAUACCAUAAUUACCUUACUUCUCUAGUCCUCGAAGCUGACAUCAUUGCAGUGUCUGUUGCCUACAGACU
This 8519-nucleotide long non-coding RNA is filed under the name Vitis vinifera (wine grape). RNAcentral describes it as "long non-coding RNA (VVIN_LNC000675)". The record is from RNAcentral. Lineage: Eukaryota; Viridiplantae; Streptophyta; Magnoliopsida; Vitales; Vitaceae.